This is a long non-coding RNA of Cyprinus carpio carpio, 526 nucleotides long. NCBI's taxonomy places the organism in Eukaryota, Metazoa, Chordata, Actinopteri, Cypriniformes, Cyprinidae. The record is from Ensembl.
ACAUCAUGUGUCAUUCACUGGUGAGAAGACUUUAUAGCACACUUAGUAAAAGUACUACAAUACCAGGAAGGAAGAUCGGGUUGUUGAUGUUUGUCUGCCAUUCUCGCUCUGUCUGCACAGUGUGCAUGAACGCGCUGAUGACGUAUCGUGUCUGCGUGAAGAGGGUGCACAGAGGCUUGUCGUUCGGAGUCUACAGCCUGCGGGAAUAAGCCAGAGAACGGAGUUACUGUGGCAAAGCCACUCAUCGCUUCUAUCAGCUGAGUUUCCUGUUACAAAAUCAACACAGUUUCUUAAUCUACAAAUACUCAGAGGUCAAUGGUCUACUCUGGAGGCAGCCCAUUAAAAGCCUUGUUCUACUGCCAACAUCUGCUUCUCCUACAUACGCAUCAAAUUAUCUCUUUAUUCCAAGAGGUCGCAAGGACACAAAAGUGGCAAUGUGUAAAUUUGAAUUCCCUUUAUCAGGACCUGAUUCCCUCUUCAGCUCUGAAUUUCACUGGUGUUGUUAACUGGUCAACUGGUUAGUCUU